RNAcentral lists this ribosomal RNA (285 nucleotides) under Eubosmina coregoni. RNAcentral describes it as "partial large subunit ribosomal RNA". It matches the Rfam family "Eukaryotic large subunit ribosomal RNA", at positions 1 to 259 of the family's 3401-position model. Lineage: Eukaryota; Metazoa; Arthropoda; Branchiopoda; Diplostraca; Bosminidae. RNAcentral also lists the same sequence under 7 other names. The record is from RNAcentral.
UCAUAUCUGACCUCAGUUUAGGUGAGACUACCCGCUGAACUUAAGCAUAUCAGUAAGCGGAGGAAAAGAAACUAACAAGGAUUCCCUUAGUAGCGGCGAGCGAACAGGGAAGAGCCCAGCACCGAAUCCCGCGCCCUGCAAAGAGGACGCAGGGAAAUGUGGUGUUUGGGAGGGCCGUGCGCGCCUGUCCGGUAUUAGCCCAAGUUCUCAUGAACGAGACGAGCAACCCGUAGAGGGUGUCAGGCCCGUCGAUAGCUAGCCGCGACCGUGCAUUGGGCCUUUCCC